GAAGAAGGUCCAGGAGCUAGUCUCAAUCACGCCUUCUUUGAUCCAUUACAAUAAAGGCUCCUCACUACCCCCUCCAGAGCCUGAAACUGUGAACCUGGGUGAGGUCUGGCUGGAACUAAGCCCCUGCUUCACAAGAGAGCAAGAAUCAAAAUCCAAUCAAGGAAUCAAACACAGCUUGCAGCUAGGCAAAGUCAUUCACCUUGGUACCCCAGUGGGCCCUGAACUAGGGGUCACAAGCUUGAAGAUCUGGAGCCACCGGCGUGGGGAAGGAUUCCUAUCUGGGCCUGGGUCCUGACCUGGCCAUUUCCUCUUGGCUGACGGUGGGCAGGAGACUUCUAGACCUCUGAAAUGUGCAGGGUCCAGAACAAUGGCAGGCAAGACAGGACCGCCAACAGAGCCCUCAGAGAAGACGGCGGGAAAGGCGGCAGGGAGGAGAAACGAGGGACUGGGAAGCAACCCUGAGACCUUGUCU
Long non-coding RNA from Bos taurus (domestic cattle), 472 nucleotides. The record is from Ensembl. Lineage: Eukaryota; Metazoa; Chordata; Mammalia; Artiodactyla; Bovidae.